Molecule: long non-coding RNA, 2237 nt
Filed under: Lepisosteus oculatus (spotted gar)
Lineage: Eukaryota; Metazoa; Chordata; Actinopteri; Semionotiformes; Lepisosteidae
Description: lncRNA (ENSLOCG00000022030.1)
Source: RNAcentral
UUUUUGCCAUGAGUAUCAUGUGUUACUCAGUGGAGUCUCCAGGUGUUGGUUUAAAACUCUGAGCUGUCCUGUUUCUUAAUGGAGAUGCUGGACGUGUCCCGCAGGUUCGCUCAUACAGGGACACAGUCUGGAAGUCCUGCUCCCUGAUGGAGUCCGUGAGAUCAGGGUGAUCUCUCUCAGGAGUGUCCCACCUCUGUCCUGACCAGGCACAGCUGGGAUUCUGGAUCAGCCAGGCGCUGCUGUGUGGGCGGUCGUCUCUGGAGGAGCCAAGCUCAGAGCAGUCGGACUCGGGGACGCAGUCACCCUGCCCUGUGACCUCAAACUCCGACAAGACUCUACUUGGUUGGUACAGAGAUAUGAGACCCUGUCUGUGGGAGUAAUGGCUUAUAAAAACCCUAUACAGCAGCAGAAUGACCCCUCUGACCGCAAGAAGAGAUUGGACUCGUGCUUCAAACUGGUGCUGCAGGCUGUCUGAUCUUCCUACUUGUGUUUUACAGGAAAUGAAGAGCCUACCCCCGACUUGAACCCCGAGCCCUGCCCAGCCUGACAGGAGAUCGCAGCACGAGUGAGUCUGAUCUUCACCCUGUUCUCUGCUCUCCUUCUGCAUGUGUCUCCACUGGCUCAGUCACAGAGCAGGAGAGAGAGGUGAGUGAGACGCACCUGUCCUGUAUUUAUACAGUCUAGAGACGCACGGUGAAGGGACACAACUGACCUGUCUGUAUUUAUACAGUCUAGAGACGCGUGGUCCAGAGUCACACCUGUCCUGUAUUUAUUUAUAUAGUCUAGAGGCACAUGGUCCAGAGACGCACCUGUCCUGUAUGUAUACAGUCUAGAGACGCACCUGUCCUGUAUGUAUACAGUCUAGAGACGCACCUGUCCUGUAUGUAUACAGUCUAGAGACGCACCUGUCCUGUAUUUCAAAGAAGAAGGUUGUGAGUUUGGAUGUGGAAGUGAUGACUGUCUGAUACCCUUGAGCUCUGGGGCACAGUGGAAGCAGGUCUUGUCACCGACAGUGUUAAUGACGUCUGUCUUGUUUCAGUUUAAAUGAAAGAUUUUUGUCAAAAAUGCAGUUAGACAGGCCCGAGAACUACUUCAGUGUCCGGUUUAUUCUGGACGUAGAUUUGAGCUUCGACAGUAUAGAAAUGACGAUUUUGACCAUAUGAUGUUAAUCCUAAUAUCUGACCAAGUAUGAAUAUGUAAAUAAAGCUUUUUGUUAUUGUCGUUCAUCUCCGAUCCUCCUCACAAGCCCACGAGAUUCCCUGGAAAACAGAUGGAAGUUCGGACCAGAUCAGCGGAAGUCUGCAGGAGUUGCCUAAUGAAGGGACUGCUUUGUACCAAAACAACUGAAAACCUGACAGAAUUAACAAGGACUCCUUUUCUGGAUAUUCUCUGUACUUGUUAACCACUAAACCAGACCGUCUCUCCAGUCUGUUUCCUGAAUAUUUUUUGUUGCAUAGUGAGUUUACUGCUUAGUCAUUGCACUGUUUAGUCACAGCCCAGUCUUUGUCCCGAAUUUUUACUUUUAUUCACUGUACUGGUUAGUCACUGGGAUUGGUAGUCACAGUACUAAGUAAUCCCUAACAGGUAUUCACUGUAGUGGCCUGUCAGUGUGAUUGGUGUUUGUUGUAAUAGAUAAUUACUUAAUCACUAUACUUUGUAUUCACUGUGGUUGGUACUGAGUAUUCAGUGUAACAGAUAAGCAGUGUGAUGAUUAUUCUCUGUGACUGAUAGGCCCUGUACUGGGUGUUCACUGUCACAGAUAACUUUGUGUUGGAAAUUCACAGUAAUGGUUUACAAGAUAUUCCCUGAAAUGGUAAGUCAUACGCUUGUUCGUGUCUUUGCUUAUUUAUUAUUUUAUUAAAUGUUGGACACUAAACCAGUCACUGUCUUGUAGGAAUAAUUGUCUCUUCACUCUGCUGGGUGUUCACAGAAAUGGCUGCACACAAAAACGGUCCCUCUGUUUUGUGAAUGAUUAUUGUACUACAUAGUCACUGUUCUGGGUAUUCACUGGGAUGACGAGGGGAGUGAGGGUAGUGUCACUGGGAUUGGUAGUCACUAUACUAAGUAAUCACUGUAAUACAUAAUGAUUAAUUCACUAUACCUUGUAUUCACUGUGGUUUGUACUGAGUGUUCACUGUAAUAAAUGUCUGCACACAAAUAGUCAGUCUAUUUCAUUAAUAAUUGUAUUAUAGUCACUGUGCUGGGUAUUCACUGGAUUGGUGAGUCACUAAACCAGU